Molecule: long non-coding RNA, 3048 nt
Organism: Loxodonta africana (African savanna elephant)
Lineage: Eukaryota; Metazoa; Chordata; Mammalia; Proboscidea; Elephantidae
Exons: 5
Source: RefSeq, a predicted model, not a curated record
GGGAAUGGAUACAUUAAAGAAUAUUUACACUGUAUCAGUCAGGGUACAACCUGGAAAACAGAAACCACAAUACAUACUUCAAACAGAGGAGAUUUAAUACAGGGAGUUAGUUACACAGGCACUGGACGGCUGAAAGAAGCCAAAGGGAGCACUGAGGUAAUCCUGGAAGGAGAAUGUCAGGAAGCAGCUACACCUCGUAAGGUGGAGAACACAAGGGAAAGGAGGCUGGGGGGUUACAGACCCAGAAACUUGGAGGAGAGUCCUGAGCAACUAGAGCUCUGACCUCUAAGGAGGGGACACCACCUGAGAGGAUGCAAUGAGGCUAGUGCUGGGAGUGAGAAAAGAAAUUGGAGGCUAAACGCCACUGAACCAGUUGCCAUCAAGAUGACUCCGGCUCGUAGUGACCCCAUGUGUGUCAAAGUAGCAUUGUGCUCCACAGGGUUUUCAAUGGCUGAUUUUUUCAGAAGUAGAUUGUCGGGCCUUUCUUCAGAGGUAUCUCUGGGGAGACUCAAUCCUCCAAAGUUUCUGUUAGCAGCCAAGCACAUUAACCAUUUACACCACACGGGGACUUCUAAAAAUCAUUAAACCCAUUACUAUGGAGCCCAUUCUGACUCACGGUGACCCAGUGAGUGCCAGGGUAGAACUUCACGCCCUAGGGUUUUCGAUGGCUGAAGUAGAUCAUCAGGACUUUCUUUUGAGGUACGACUGGGUGGAUUCAAACCGCCAACCUUUUGGUUAGUAGCUACGUGCAAACUGCUUGCGUCACCCAGGACUUCUAAGUGUCACCACCGGAGCCAAACUGCAAGCAACUGGGAUAGAAAAGGAAGGCAGCUAUUCUCUUCUCCUCCCACCUUCUAAUCUUCAGCGCCGCCUACUGGCAGAAUCUAACAGGGCACCAGCGGACAAGGAAAUGUAGCUGCGGAGUCCCGCCCCAGUAUCACAGACCAGAGUUUAGACCGGUAGAUUUGGACCUGAGACAAAAUAGGCAAAAAUUGGCACACAUACUAAAAAAUAUAAUUACUAUAUAGCAUUGAAAACCAUAAGCAGUGACUGCAUAUAACAACAUACUGGAAUCUUAGAAACAAAGUUGAGUGAAAAAGCCCUAGACUAUAUCAAACAUAUCAUUUCUAACAAGCUCAAAAACAAGGAAAUCCACAUAAAUACAUAAUUUAAGGAUAUGUCGUUAUGUGAUGAAAAAGUUUUGUUUUGUUUUUAAAGAAGUAAUUUUUUUUUUAGUAAACACAAUAUAGGGCGGUGUUUACGUCUUGCUGGGGGAGACAGGAGAGGGCUGAAGAACAACACAAAGGAGGACAGAAGUUGUUAAGAGAUGUUCUAGUACUCGUGUUGGGUGGCACGUUCAUGGGUGUUUAUUAUAUUAUGUUUUAUAAAUAAUAUUUUGUUAAAUACUUUAUAUGCUCAAAAUAUUAUAUUUUAAAGGAUAUGUGAGAAAUUCCUCAGAGAAUAAGAAGGAAGGGAAUCUAAGCUGGAAGGAGGCCAGGGGAAAUAACUAGAGUGGCCGUGGACAGCGUAGACAGCGAAUGGACAGCGGGGCCGACGGCUCUAGAGGAGGGGCAGACGUUGGAAGGAAGCUGCGGAGCCCGGCGGCGAGACUGCAGGGCCGCUCUGGCCCACACGAGGGCGCCCCACAGUGCCACGUCUGGGCUGUGGGGGUGGCCAGAAUGGAGUGGAGGACAGGAAGGAGGCCUUUUGGGAGGGAGAGUUGGGAGGGAAACGUCCUGUGUGCUCGCAGACCGGCCCUCUCUCCAGGUUUCCUGUGUGCUCAAGCCUUGAAGAAGAUGGACAUCCAGUUUUGCCAGCACCAUUCGUUAAAAAGACUGUCUUUUCCCCAUUUGAUGAACUUUGGACCCCUGUAGAAGAUCAGGAGAGAAAGCAGUCAACAAGACAGACAUGGACCCUGCCCUCAUGGAUCUUAGAUUCUGGGAAAGAAAAACAAACAGGUUCUGCUCCAGCCCAUCAAUAUCAAUACUGUUCCCUGCACCCCACAGAGGUUUUUUAGAGACAGAAAGAAGCAGGAAGAGAAGCAACAAGCAGCAGCAGAAGGGAGGAAGAGAGAGGAGUGAAGAAACAGAAAGGGAGCGCAAGGAACCUCCUACAAGGGCUGUAACAUGGAUCAAGGCCUAUAAUGCUGAAGAUGACGACAGGUCAAGAAGGGGCCCAGUGGCAGAGCCAAUAGCAACAGAGGCAGGACAAAGAGGAGCCUGUCAUCAAGGGGUCCAGAGGAGGCCUGUGUGACCAAGAGGAGCUGAGAAUGCUGUCCUGUACUGAAGAAGGGACACUGCCUACAUGGCUCCGGAUCCUGAGUUGUAGCCUGUUGAUCCUGAUCCCAAGUUGUACCAUUACAUCCUUAAUAAACCACUUAACUGUAAGUAUGGUCUGUGAGUUGUGUGUAGCCACUGUAAUGAAUUAUCAAACCCAGAAGAGAAGUAGAGAGUGCCGUGGGAGGGACGGCCGGUAUCAGAAUUGGUAAAAAAAGGUUGGACAGUGGAGGUAUGUCUGACCUCUACCUCACAGGGAUCAGCCUUGGACUGAUCUUGAUUCACAUUAUCCCCCCUGAAGUUAGACAGGCUCUGAAUACACUAUUACUACUAAUCCCAUUUUAUAUGUGGUUAUGAUUUUUUUAUAGCAGCUUUAUUAAGAUAUGAUUUAACAGAGGCAGGGCCAAGAUGGUGGAGUAGUCAGAUGCUUCCUGUGGUCUCUCUUAAAACAAAGACCCAAUAAACAAGUGAAUAAAUUAUAUAUGACCAUCUAGAAGCCCUGAACAUCAAAGACAAAGUUGAGGAGUUGGACUGAGCGGCAGGGGGAGGGAGAGACAGUUCAGAAGCAGCACGGAUUUGUCAGAUCUGACCUGGCCAGCACCCUGCAGGCUGGAUCAGGCAAUGCGUGUGGGCUGAGGGAAGCAGUAGCACCCAGGACGUGUUUUCCACAUGGGGAGAAACCGAGCGGUGGAAAGUCUACACAAGGCUCUGGAAUCAGGGAGAAGCGACACUGAGUCUGUGAAACUUAAGUGCAAGCAUCUAACCUACUGCA